Molecule: ribosomal RNA, 494 nt
Filed under: uncultured bacterium
Lineage: Bacteria
Description: partial 16S ribosomal RNA
Rfam family: Bacterial small subunit ribosomal RNA
Source: RNAcentral
GACGAACGCUGGCGGCGUGCUUAACACAUGCAAGUCGAACGGUGAAGCGCCUUCCUUUUUGGUGGGUGUGGAUGAGUGGCGAACGGGUGAGUAACACGUGAGUAACCUGCCCCCUUCUUCUGGAUAACCGCAUGAAAGUGUGGCUAAUACGGGAUAUUCUGGGUCUGUCGCAUGAUGGGUCUGGGAAAGAUAUUGUUUCGGUGGGGGAUGGGCUCGCGGCCUAUCAGCUUGUUGGUGGGGUGAUGGCCUACCAAGGCGGUGACGGGUAGCCGGCCUGAGAGGGUGGACGGUCACACUGGGGCUGAGCCACGGCCCAGACUCCUACGGGAGGCAGCAGUGGGGAAUAUUGCACAAUGGGCGCAAGCCUGAUGCAGCGACGCCGCGUGAGGGAUGGAGGCCUUCGGGUUGUGAACCUCUUUCGCCAGUGAAGCAGGCCUGCCUCGUUUGUGGGUGGGUUGACGGUAGCUGGAUAAGAAGCGCCGGCUAACUACGUG